RNAcentral lists this ribosomal RNA (465 nucleotides) under Vreelandella stevensii. RNAcentral's name for it is "partial 16S ribosomal RNA". It matches the Rfam family "Bacterial small subunit ribosomal RNA", at positions 338 to 795 of the family's 1533-position model. The record is from RNAcentral. Lineage: Bacteria; Pseudomonadati; Pseudomonadota; Gammaproteobacteria; Oceanospirillales; Halomonadaceae.
CCUACGGGGGGCUGCAGUGGGGAAUAUUGGACAAUGGGGGGAACCCUGAUCCAGCCAUGCCGCGUGUGUGAAGAAGGCCCUCGGGUUGUAAAGCACUUUCAGUGAGGAAGAACGCCUGGUGGUUAAUACCCAGCAGGAAAGACAUCACUCACAGAAGAAGCACCGGCUAACUCCGUGCCAGCAGCCGCGGUAAUACGGAGGGUGCGAGCGUUAAUCGGAAUUACUGGGCGUAAAGCGCGCGUAGGUGGCUUGAUAAGCCGGUUGUGAAAGCCCCGGGCUCAACCUGGGAACGGCAUCCGGAACUGUCAAGCUAGAGUGCGGGAGAGGAAGGUAGAAUUCCCGGUGUAGCGGUGAAAUGCGUAGAGAUCGGGAGGAAUACCAGUGGCGAAGGCGGCCUUCUGGACUGACACUGACACUGAGGUGCGAAAGCGUGGGUAGCAAACAGGAUUAGAUACCCUAGUAGUC